Molecule: ribosomal RNA, 300 nt
Filed under: uncultured Piscirickettsiaceae bacterium
Lineage: Bacteria; Pseudomonadati; Pseudomonadota; Gammaproteobacteria; Thiotrichales; Piscirickettsiaceae
Description: bacterial SSU rRNA
Rfam family: Bacterial small subunit ribosomal RNA
Source: RNAcentral
CACUUGGGAAUCUGCCCAGUAGUGGGGGACAACAUUCGGAAACGGAUGCUAAUACCGCAUACGCACUACGGUGGAAAGUGGGGGAUCUUCGGACCUCACGCUAUUGGAUGAGCCCAAGUCGGAUUAGCUUGUUGGUGAGGUAAUAGCUCACCAAGGCGACGAUCCGUAGCUGGUCUGAGAGGACGAUCAGCCACACUGGGACUGAGACACGGCCCAGACUCCUACGGGAGGCAGCAGUGGGGAAUAUUGGACAAUGGGCGCAAGCCUGAUCCAGCAAUGCCGCGUGUGUGAAGAAGGCCU